RNAcentral lists this ribosomal RNA (77 nucleotides) under Nocardia cyriacigeorgica. The record is from RNAcentral. Lineage: Bacteria; Bacillati; Actinomycetota; Actinomycetes; Mycobacteriales; Nocardiaceae. RNAcentral also lists the same sequence under 3 other names.
CUUGGUGACAAUAGCGUUUUGGACCCACCUGAUCCCAUGCCGAACUCAGUAGUGAAACGAAACAGCGCCGAUGAUAG